RNAcentral lists this ribosomal RNA (1247 nucleotides) under Candidatus Phytoplasma pruni -related phytoplasma. RNAcentral describes it as "bacterial SSU rRNA". It matches the Rfam family "Bacterial small subunit ribosomal RNA", at positions 153 to 1399 of the family's 1533-position model. Lineage: Bacteria; Bacillati; Mycoplasmatota; Mollicutes; Acholeplasmatales; Acholeplasmataceae. The record is from RNAcentral.
GAAACGACUGCUAAGACUGGAUAGGAAAAGUAAAGGCAUCUUUACUUUUUUAAAAGACCUUCUUUGAAGGUAUGCUUAAGGAGGGGCUUGCGACACAUUAGUUAGUUGGCAGGGUAAAGGCCUACCAAGACUAUGAUGUGUAGCUGGACUGAGAGGUUGAACAGCCACAUUGGGACUGAGACACGGCCCAAACUCCUACGGGAGGCAGCAGUAGGGAAUUUUCGGCAAUGGAGGAAACUCUGACCGAGCAACGCCGCGUGAAUGAUGAAGUACCUCGGUAUGUAAAGUUCUUUUAUUAAGGAAGAAAAAAGAGUGGAAAAACUCCCUUGACGGUACUUAAUGAAUAAGCCCCGGCUAAUUAUGUGCCAGCAGCCGCGGUAAUACAUAAGGGGCGAGCGUUAUCCGGAAUUAUUGGGCGUAAAGGGUGCGUAGGCGGUUUAAUAAGUCUAUAGUUUAAUUUCAGUGCUUAACGCUGUUGUGCUAUAGAAACUGUUUUACUAGAGUGAGUUAGAGGCAAGCGGAAUUCCAUGUGUAGCGGUAAAAUGCGUAAAUAUAUGGAGGAACACCAGAGGCGUAGGCGGCUUGCUGGGACUUUACUGACGCUGAGGCACGAAAGCGUGGGGAGCAAACAGGAUUAGAUACCCUGGUAGUCCACGCCGUAAACGAUGAGUACUAAGUGUCGGGUAAAACCGGUACUGAAGUUAACACAUUAAGUACUCCGCCUGAGUAGUACGUACGCAAGUAUGAAACUUAAAGGAAUUGACGGGACUCCGCACAAGCGGUGGAUCAUGUUGUUUAAUUCGAAGAUACACGAAAAACCUUACCAGGUCUUGACAUUUUCUUGCGAAGUUAUAGAAAUAUAAUGGAGGUUAUCAGGAAAACAGGUGGUGCAUGGUUGUCGUCAGCUCGUGUCGUGAGAUGUUAGGUUAAGUCCUAAAACGAGCGCAACCCUUGUCGUUAAUUGCCAGCAUGUAAUGAUGGGGACUUUAACGAGACUGCCAAUGAAAAAUUGGAGGAAGGUGGGGAUUACGUCAAAUCAUCAUGCCCCUUAUGAUCUGGGCUACAAACGUGAUACAAUGGUUGAUACAAAGAGUAGCUGAAACGCGAGUUCUUAGCCAAUCUCACAAAAUCAAUCUCAGUUCGGAUUGAAGUCUGCAACUCGACUUCAUGAAGUUGGAAUCGCUAGUAAUCGCGAAUCAGCAUGUCGCGGUGAAUACGUUCACGGGGUUUGUACACACCGCCCGUCA